RNAcentral lists this ribosomal RNA (383 nucleotides) under uncultured bacterium. Its description in RNAcentral is "bacterial SSU rRNA". It matches the Rfam family "Bacterial small subunit ribosomal RNA", at positions 39 to 422 of the family's 1533-position model. The record is from RNAcentral.
GGCCGCGGGAAUUCGAUUCGGGCCUAACACAUGCAAGUCGAGCGGGGACUUCGGUCCUAGCGGCGAACGGGUGAGGAGUGCUUGGGAAUCUGCCCAGUAGUGGGGGAUAACGUUUCGAAAGGAACGCUAAUACCGCAUACGUCCUACGGGAGAAAGGGGGGGAUCUUCGGACCUCUCGCUAUUGGAUGAGCCCAAGUCGGAUUAGCUAGUUGGUGAGGUAAAGGCUCACCAAGGCGACGAUCCGUAGCUGGUCUGAGAGGAUGAUCAGCCACACUGGAACUGAGACACGGUCCAGACUCCUACGGGAGGCAGCAGUGGGGAAUAUUGGACAAUGGGCGAAAGCCUGAUCCAGCAAGGCCGCGUGUGUGAAGAAGGCCUUCGGG